GGGCUCAUGGCCUAAUGGUAAGGCGUUAGAUUUCGGUUGAAAUCACUACUCUCUAAAGAUUGCAGGUUCGAUCCCUGCUGAGCUCG
Molecule: non-coding RNA, 86 nt
Organism: Hypoxylon fragiforme
Lineage: Eukaryota; Fungi; Ascomycota; Sordariomycetes; Xylariales; Hypoxylaceae
Source: the annotation of a RefSeq genome assembly